This is a long non-coding RNA of Vigna angularis (adzuki bean), 423 nucleotides long. RefSeq lists it as uncharacterized. The transcript has 3 exons. The record is from RefSeq and is a predicted model, not a curated record. NCBI's taxonomy places the organism in Eukaryota, Viridiplantae, Streptophyta, Magnoliopsida, Fabales, Fabaceae.
GUCAUUAGCAGAGGAAAUGCAAGCAAUCAUCAGGGGAUUAGAAAAGGUUAAAGAGGAGCUGACUGCAUCAGAAAACGAUGGCCCAGUGACUGAAGUUUUUCGUAAGGCAAUUAUCUCUGGAUGUUCUGUGCUGGAGAGUUGGCUGCAAUUUUAAAUUGUGAUCGAUUCAAAUCACUACUACCUAGAACAACUAAAGUGAAAUGCCUUGCAGAUGCUGGUUAUUUUAUCAAUGUGUGGACAAGCUUAAAGGGGAACUAGAAACACAAAACAAGUAGAAAGGGAACACGGAAACUCGAGUGUUUGUUAGAGAAAAAAGUUAAUGACUUGAACUCAAAAUUAGAAGAUGUAAGUUUUACGUUUACCAACAAUUCUGUUUUAACUAAUGUGCCUUAAGUGCAUCUCAUUAUUGUUUUAACUAAUGUG